RNAcentral lists this unclassified non-coding RNA (331 nucleotides) under Hevea brasiliensis (rubber tree). The record is from RNAcentral. Lineage: Eukaryota; Viridiplantae; Streptophyta; Magnoliopsida; Malpighiales; Euphorbiaceae.
CCGCCAUUGCCGAACAACCAUGCUCUUGAAGCCCUUCAACACCGUCGCCGUCGUAUUCAUGCUCGCUUUCGCAUUCUUCAUCAUCUUCUUCACUGGCUUCCUCGAAUUUCCACCGGCAUCCACUUCCCUCGCACCGCCCACCGACGAUCUGAAUCUCUCCGCACCCAAAUUCGCUUCCGAACCUUUCACUGAUUUGAUCACCGCCUUUAAGAAAUGGGACUCUCAGGUGGGUUGUGAUCGGUUCCGGGAGAAAAUUGGCGGCGGUUUGGGGAAUGGCUCUUCGUCGGGUUCGCUGCAGCAAGUCGGCGGCGACUCUAAUUCGGAAUGUGGG